Molecule: RNA transcript, 5210 nt
Organism: Topomyia yanbarensis
Lineage: Eukaryota; Metazoa; Arthropoda; Insecta; Diptera; Culicidae
Gene: Oseg6
Gene name: WD repeat-containing protein 19
Exons: 13
Source: RefSeq, a predicted model, not a curated record
GGAUGGCCUGUUGAAUGCUCUUGCUGUCGCGGUCGUUGUCAAAAUUUGAUGAAUAAAAAGCACAAAAAGACGAUAAAAAACAAGUGAGGUAAAAAUUGCGUCGCUUGUUCAAACGUCAACAUUAACAAUGACAAAUUUUGCUUCCAUGGCAACGCAAACCUGUGCAAAACGAUAAACAAAUAGUUUUCAAAAUUUAGGAGCAGCAGUGAAAAAUUCGCUCAUUUCAAAUUUGUGAAAAUGAUAGUGUUUUAAUGAGUGGUCAGAAUAACAGUUAACUGCACGAUGAGUGGCGAAAAGGUUCUCUAUCGGAACGAGGAUCCGCACGGUCAGGGCGAUGUAUACUUUCUGUGGCAAACGGGUGGAUCGGCACAGCUAAUGGCCACCACUGGAAGCGAUGGUACGGUGGCUAUUUUUAACAGGCAAGGCCAAUUGGUAGAGCGGAUAGUGCUCCAAGGACUAUGCGCAGGAUUUGCAUGGGACAAGGAUGGAGAUGUGCUGGCAAUAAUAACGCAAAGCUCCUCUCAGCUGAUCGUUUGGGACGCAAACUCACGGAAGAAACAAAGCGUCGAUAUUGGUGUUCGCGAUCCCCCUAGCUGCAUCGUCUGGUCUAAACGGGGCAGUCUGUUGGCGGUAGCGACAUCCAGAGGCAAUCUGUCGAUCUAUAACCACCUAACGACGAAGCGUAUUCCGAUACUAGGGAAGCAUACGAAGCGUAUAACGUGUGGAGCGUGGUCAACGGAGAACAUUUUGGCACUGGGAAGCGAGGAUAAGUUUCUGUCAUUGAGUAAUGAGGAAGGGGAUACAUUGCGAUCAGUACAGCUGAGAGAUACUCCAAGUGAUAUGCAUUUUGCUGAGAUGAAGACGGAUGAACGGGUGCCGGGUGAGAAUACCAUCAGUAUGAUUUUGGGAAAGCGGACGUUGUUUUUGUAUCACUUGCCGGAGCCGGAUUCACCUACGGAGCUUGGCUUUCAGCAGCGAUACGGAUCGCUAAUCCAGCAUAAGUGGUUUAGUGAUGGUUACGUUUUACUUGGGUUUAGCUUAGGCCAUGUGGUGUCAAUUUCUACUCAUCCCAGGGAAGUUGGGCAGGAACUCUGGCAAGUGAAAAAUCACCGGGAUUCGCUUAAUAGUAUAGCCGUUUGCAAGGAACUGGAGUUGGUUGCGUCGUGCGGCGAUAAUAACAUAAAAAUCCACUCGAUGUCUAACCUUCAAGAAACGGUUAAGAUUCUGACUCUUCACGAUCAGGCAGCUAUGAAAAACAUCGAUUGGAGCUCUGACGGUCAAUUACUCGGUGUGACCACGUCACAGGGUGCCGUCUGUGUAUUCGUUACAAAACUUCACUCGCUGUUUGCGGUUUCCCCUCCGCGAAUCGCACUACUUUCCAGUUUAGCAGAAGUAACAAUUCAUCACUACGCUCCAGAUAAGGUAAAAUCCGCUCCAACGACGAUUGCCUUGGAGAUUGAGCCAUCAUUUCUGGCGAUUGGACCGUACCAUCUCGCCUGCGGGAUGAACAAUCACGUGUGGUUCUACGAUUUAGGCCGAUCACUGAAUGACAAUCCGCUGCUACUCGGUGAUCGUGAGUACAUGUCGGAAAUCAAGGAAGUUGCGCUUAGCUCGGAAUACUGUGCGGUUCUCUGUGGAGGACAAAUAAUGCUACAUUCGAUCGAAUCCACAAGUGAGGCUACGUUGAAUCGGGAACCGAAAGUUUUCCCGGAUGAAAUUCGGGGUAUGGUUGAAUCGAUCAUCACUUGCCUGACGUUGACCAAUGAUUUUCUAUGCUUCGCAACGGAUCUGGGUAACAUUGUGCACUUUUCUCUGGAGCGCUGGUCAACAGUACUUCAGUUUCGUCACCAAGUUGGCAUAAAGGCGUUAUUCACUGAUUUGGAUGGAACGCGACUGGUGUUUCUAGACGAUCACAGCCAUGGUUACGUGUAUAUUGCCGCUACUGAAGAAACGAUUCGGAUCCCAGAGAUUCCGAAGCAUACCAUUGGCAUUAUGUGGGAUUACUCUCACUCAAGCGUGUUUAUCGCAUUCGAUCGAAGCACUUGCGUAACUUACGCGUUUGUGCGAGCAUCGGUGCAAGGGAGAAAAGUGGAAAGGGUCGGUGUUACCAGUUUGAUUAGCGAUCAGAUUCCGCUUAUGUUGUACGAUGGAGAUUUGUGUCUUCAUGGCAGUGGCGGUAGAUUCACAACGGUUGUGCUAGAUACACACGCGAAUAAACCCGGAAGAGAUGCUAAAGAACAGCUGCAAGCUGUGAUUACGAUGCGUAAGUAUAACGAAGCCUGGGAAUUGUGCAAUCUUAUGAACGAUGUGGAAGAAUGGAAACGACUAGGUCAGUCAGCGUUGGCCGAUAUGAAUAUAGCUUUCGCUAUCAAAGUGUUCCGUAAUAUCGGGGACGUUGCAAUGGUUUAUGCACUAGAAGACAUAGUACAAAUAGAGGAUCUCAACACGCUGGCUGGAUUCUGUGCCUUACUGCUAAAUAAAAUCGACGAAGCAAAAACAUUGUUUGCAAAAAGCGGGAACCCUCUGGAAGCACUUGAAUUGUGUCGAGAUUUAUUGCAAUGGGAACAAGCUAUGGCUUUGGCUAGCUCACUUGCCCCGGACCAGCUUCCAUUUUUGGCACGAGAGUAUGCUCAGCAGUUGGAGUUUACCGGUAACCAAGCGGAAGCGCUGAUGAACUACGAACGCGGUCUCAAAAGUGACAUUCUACCAAGCUCAGCGGAUGGAGUGAUUGAACAGGAGCUACUAAACCAACACGUAAGGCUGUGCAAGGCGGGAAUUUCCCGAACGAGCAUCAAAUGUGGUGACUAUAGGCGAGGUGUACAGUUAGCCCUCGAGUUGGACGACAAGCAGUUGUUCAAUGAUUGUGGCAACGCGCUGGUGAACAGUGGGAAUCUGAACGAGGCGGCGAUUUUGCUUGAGCGGGGUGAAAGCUGGGACAAGUGCUGUGAGUUGUACAUUCACUUGAAGCUGUGGAAAAAGGUUGACAGUAUUUUACCUAAUGUCACGAGUCUCAAGUUGCAGGCAUCCUAUGCCAAAGCAAAGGAAGCAGAAGGACGUUACGCUGAAGCCAUCAACGGUUACCAGCUGGCUGGGGACAUGGAUAGCGUUGUUAGAAUAUACCUAGAGCAUCUUUCGGAUCCUCACAGUGCUUCUGAAAUACUGAUGGAAACACGUUCGAUUGAAGGUUCCAAACUAUUGUCCAAGUACUUUGAGCGCCACGGUGAUUUCGAAUCGGCAAUUCAAUUUUUGGUGCUCUGUGGCUCGAUUGGGGACGCAUUCGCGAUUGCUCAGAAACAAAAUAAAAUUCGAUAUUACGGUGAAGUGUUAGAACAAAGCUCUAACGCAAAACCGAGUGACUACCUAGUACUGGCUACGCAUUUCGAAAGCGAAAAAUACACACUACUCGCUGGAAAGUACUACUUUCUAGGAAAAGAAUAUUACAAAGCCUUGAAGCACCUGCUUAAAGCAGCCUCCUUCAGUAACGAGGAAAACAUGGCUCUCUCACUGGCUAUCGACUGCGUCGCUUCUGCUAACGAUGAAAAAUUAUCAAAUCAGCUAAUCGAAUAUCUUCUCGGCGAAUUGGAUGGCGUACCGAAAGAUCCCAAACUUUUGUUUCGAUUGUACAUGGCUAAAAGGCAGUUCAAGGAGGCAGCCAAGGCGGCAAUGAUUAUUGCCAAUCAGGAACAAAUUGCUGGAAACUAUCGAAGUGCUCACGAUUUGCUCUUCUCCAUGUACCAAGAACUCAAGCGGAACAAUCUUGCCAUAGCAUCCGAUAUGAAGGCCUCCCUUACGUUGCUUCACCGCUACACACUGGUGAGGACACACGUUAAACGAGCAAAUCAUUUGCUGGCGGCUCGCCUUCUACUAGAAGUGGCCAAAAAUAUUUCCCAAUUUCCUUCCCACGUAGUCCCUAUUCUCACAUCAACGGUAAUUGAGUGUCAUCGAACAGGUUUGCGAAAAUCCGCUUUCGAAUAUGCGGUGAUGCUGAUGCGAUCGGAGUUUCGUAACCAAAUCGAUGCGAAAUAUGCUAAGAAGAUAGAGUCGAUUGUGCGCAAGGCACCCCGCGGUCAGCUGGAGGACGAAGGAGCGUAUGAGGCGGGUCCCUGUCCGGUGUGUGAUGCCACUUUGCCUAGUAUGGAAUUUAUUUGCGGUCAGUGCAAGACUACGCUACCGAUUUGUAUUGCUACGGGUCAGCAUAUCGUUAAGGAGAAUGUAGUGGCCUGUCCGGAAUGUGAUUUUCCAGCUCUCAAAGCAGAACUCACCAAAAUUCUAGAGUUUACCGAUAACCAAUGCCCGAUGUGUGGGGAGGAAAUUGAAUCUCUGCGAUUUGUGGAUAUAUCAGAUAUUCAGCCGUACAUCGGUACGGGAACGUGAUCUCAUAAAACCUCUCAACUGUAAUGCAGUGAUUUUGUUAGCAUUCCUUACUUGUACCUUUACGAACAAUUCAAAGUGCUUUAAUAUAUAUCACUGCCUUUGCUCAAAGCUAAGGUAACUGAUUGAUUUCUCAGAUUAUCAGUAGGCAAUAAUUCACUGCCAUCAAUUGAACAUUAGCAACUGUAUAGAACGGCUGAGGUGCUGUAUUCGUACAUGUCGGUGCUUCCUUUAUUAUUCCAACGGCAUUGGGUUGAAUGAAUGCUGUUUGUUGCCGCGCAAAUGAGUUAAUUAUACAAUGUCAGCAGUGCAUAAGAAAUGCAUCACUGCUACGCGUAGGGAAGGUUGAUGAUGAUCUUAAAAACCCGAAAAUGAAAUGAAAAGAACACAGAAAAAGGGAUCACUGUCUAUUUAUCAACCUCCCGCGCCUAAUAUACAUAAGCGUGCCAUACGUAGUCCUAUUAGCUAGCUUUGGUUUUUCCUUCUCACUUACUCUGCGGUUAGGAUAGUAAUAAAAUCUUAGAAAGCGGUACAAAUGUAACCGCAUAUUUUGUGAGCCCUUGGGGGACUGGACUAGGAUUGAAUAGCAGGAAUCCGUAUUGUGGUUAAAUACGUCAGUCUUGAAGAGGCAGGGCCAAAUAUAUAAGUAAACAAAUAGGAAUUGCGCCCUUCUAAGGCCAUAGGAAAUCUACACCGUAUCUCAGGAGAAUAGGGAAAAACUUAAGGACUAAAAGGGACAAAUUUUCCCGUAGCGAUAUAUGAAUCGCGCGGGCAACAUGUAGCUUUAAGAUAACUUUUGUAAAUAUUUUCUGAAUAAAUUAAGUUUCAAAGUUCUAAAA